GGAAUAUAAGAACUUGUCUCUUAACUUUUAACUGAAAAAUGUAAGAACCGGUUCUUAAAUAAGAGUUUUAAGAGCCGGUUCUUAACUUUUUUAGUUAAAAGUUAAGAGACGGGUUAUUAUAUUCC
Brassica oleracea var. oleracea is the source of this 125-nucleotide microRNA precursor. It matches the Rfam family "MIR9563 microRNA precursor family". The record is from Rfam. Lineage: Eukaryota; Viridiplantae; Streptophyta; Magnoliopsida; Brassicales; Brassicaceae.